CGCCAGACUCCUACGGGAGGCAGCAGUGGGGAAUAUUGCACAAUGGGGGAAACCCUGAUGCAGCGACGCCGCGUGAGUGAAGAAGUAUUUCGGUAUGUAAAGCUCUAUCAGCAGGGAAGAAAAUGACGGUACCUGAUUAAGAAGCCCCGGCUAACUCCGUGCCAGCAGCCGUGGUAAUACGUAGGGGGCAAGCGUUAUCCGGAUUUACUGGGUGUAAAGGGAGCGUAGACGGCAGUGCAAGUCUGGAGUGAAAGGCGGGGGCUCAACCCCCGGACUGCUCUGGAAACUGUACGGCUGGAGUGCAGGAGAGGUAAGUGGAAUUCCUAGUGUAGCGGUGAAAUGCGUAGAUAUUAGGAGGAACACCAGUGGCGAAGGCGGCUUACUGGACUGUAACUGACGUUGGGGCUCGAAAGCGUGGGGAGCAAACAGGAUUAGAUACCCUCGUAGUA
This 449-nucleotide ribosomal RNA is filed under the name uncultured bacterium. RNAcentral's name for it is "bacterial SSU rRNA". It matches the Rfam family "Bacterial small subunit ribosomal RNA", at positions 329 to 795 of the family's 1533-position model. The record is from RNAcentral.